UGUGGUUUAUUCGAUGCAACGCGAAGAACCUUACCAAGGCUUGACAUGUCGCGAACUCUUCUGAAAGGAAGAGGUGCCUUCGGGAGCGCGAACACAGGUGGUGCAUGGCUGUCGUCAGCAUCSUSUCGUGAKCAYCGYUGGSUGCURAGUCACAACGCAACGAGCGCAACCCUCGUUUUUAGUUGCCAGCAUUAAGUUGGGCACUCUAGAGAGACUGCCGGUGACAAACCGGAGGAAGGUGGGGAUGACGUCAAGUCAGCAUGCCCCUUACGCCUUGGGCUACACACGUACUACAAUGCUACGGACAGAGGGCAGCAAGCUAGCGAUAGCAAGCUAAUCCCAUAAACCGUGGCUCAGUUCAGAUCGAAGGCUGCAACUCGCCUUCGUGAAGGAGGAAUCGCUAGUAAUUGCAGGUCAGCAUAACAUGAAUUCUUCCCGGGCCUUGUACACACCGCCCGUCACACCAUGGAAGCUGGCAACGCCCGAAGUCAUUACUCCAACCUUUCGAGGGGGAGGAUGCCUAARGCAGUGCUGGUGACUGGGGUGAAGUCGUACA
This 556-nucleotide ribosomal RNA is filed under the name Cylindrospermum sp. BTA1113. RNAcentral describes it as "bacterial SSU rRNA". It matches the Rfam family "Bacterial small subunit ribosomal RNA", at positions 940 to 1493 of the family's 1533-position model. Lineage: Bacteria; Bacillati; Cyanobacteriota; Cyanophyceae; Nostocales; Nostocaceae. The record is from RNAcentral.